This 497-nucleotide ribosomal RNA is filed under the name uncultured bacterium. RNAcentral's name for it is "partial 16S ribosomal RNA". It matches the Rfam family "Bacterial small subunit ribosomal RNA", at positions 28 to 507 of the family's 1533-position model. The record is from RNAcentral.
GAUGAACGCUGGCGGCGUGCCUAACACAUGCAAGUCGAGCGAACGGACGAGAAGCUUGCGCCCCUGAUGUUAGCGGCGGACGGGUGAGUAACACGUGUAUAACCUACCUAUAAGACUGGGAUAAUUACGGGAAACCGGAGCUAAUACCGGAUAAUAUUUUGAACCGCAGGGUUCAAAAGUGAAAGACGGUCUUGGUGUCUGUAAUAGAUGGAUCCGCGCUGGAUUAGCUAGUUGGUAAGGUAACGGCUUACCAAGGCAACGAUGCAUAGCCGACCUGAGAGGGUGAUCGGCCACACUGGAACUGAGACACGGUCCAGACUCCUACGGGAGGCAGCAGUAGGGAAUCUUCCGCAAUGGGCGAAAGCCUGACGCAGCAACGCCGCGUGAGUGAUGAAGGUCUUCGGAUCGUAAAGCUCUGUUAUUAGGGAAGAACAUAUGUGUAAGUAACCGUGCACAUCUUGACGGUACCUAAUCAAAAAGCAACGGCUAACUACGUG